This 714-nucleotide ribosomal RNA is filed under the name uncultured bacterium. RNAcentral's name for it is "bacterial SSU rRNA". It matches the Rfam family "Bacterial small subunit ribosomal RNA", at positions 111 to 823 of the family's 1533-position model. The record is from RNAcentral.
UAACACGUAUCCAACCUGCCGUCUACUCUUGGACAUCCUUCUGAAAGGAAGAUUAAUACAAGAUGGCAUCAUGAGUUCACAUGUUCACAUGAUUAAAGGUAUUCCGGUAGACGAUGGGGAUGCGUUCCAUUAGAUAGUAGGCGGGGUAACGGCCCACCUAGUCUUCGAUGGAUAGGGGUUCUGAGAGGAAGGUCCCCCACAUUGGAACUGAGACACGGUCCAAACUCCUACGGGAGGCAGCAGUGAGGAAUGUUGGUCAAUGGGCGAGAGCCUGAACCAGCCAAGUAGCGUGAAGGAUGACUGCCCUAUGGGUUGUAAACUUCUUUUAUAAAGGAAUAAAGUCGGGUAUGCAUACCCGUUUGCAUGUACUUUAUGAAUAAGGAUCGGCUAACUCCGUGCCAGCAGCCGCGGUAAUACGGAGGAUCCGAGCGUUAUCCGGAUUUAUUGGGUUUAAAGGGAGCGUAGAUGGAUGUUUAAGUCAGUUGUGAAAGUUUGCGGCUCAACCGUAAAAUUGCAGUUGAUACUGGAUAUCUUGAGUGCAGUUGAGGCAGGCGGAAUUCGUGGUGUAGCGGUGAAAUGCUUAGAUAUCACGAAGAACUCCGAUUGCGAAGGCAGCCUGCUAAGCUGCAACUGACAUUGAGGCUCGAAAGUGUGGGUAUCAAACAGGAUUAGAUACCCUGGUAGUCCACACGGUAAACGAUGAAUACUCGCUGU